Molecule: long non-coding RNA, 1118 nt
Filed under: Cyanistes caeruleus (blue tit)
Lineage: Eukaryota; Metazoa; Chordata; Aves; Passeriformes; Paridae
Description: lncRNA (ENSCCEG00000001162.1)
Source: RNAcentral
AUAGAAGGACAGUAUCAACAAAAUGUUCUUACAUAUGCUUUUCUUGUUAACCCAGAUGACCAAAAAGGAGAUACCUGUGUCAACAAUGACUACCCUGCUGGCCAAAUGAAGCUUAUGUCUACACCAGAUUUCUACCAGCAAAAGAGGAUGUUAUAGCUUAUAUUUCCAUAGGACUUAUAUUUCAAUAGGACUUACAUAUCCAAGUAAUAUUCACAGCCCCCAAGUCAGAACAGGUCUCACAGCUGCAGCUCUCACUGUAGUUAAUAGAAACCUCAUCUGUAUAAUUGUACCAAUGUAACCAAUUAUAGAAUUUGAUUUCCAAUGCAAGAUUUCGCUGGAUUGUUUUGACAGUGCUUAGUUGAUAAGACUGUGGUAUCCCUAGUAGUUCUAUGUAUUUGAACAGACCUAUUAAGAGAAACAGGAAGGAUACCAUAGCAAGCUCUACAAUAAAUAGACUGCCAAAAUUCUGUUUCAGUAGAAAGAAGCAGCAUGUCCCUUCAUACAGGAAUGCACAUCCCGCUGGAGCCAGACAGCUCCCCCAUGACAAUUCCAGGGCCUUGCAGCUCCUACUGCUCUCCCCACUGGUUUUCAGACCAAGGAGACAUUGCACUGCCUGGGUCUGAGGUGGCAGCCACGUGGGCCAUAGCAAGAUAGCUCCCUUCUCUAAUGAUACAUGAGAGAGAACAUCAGCUGUGGGACCUAGGGAGUUAAGAAGCAAUUAACUGAUGAAAAAAAAUUCAUAUUUGAGAAGACAUCUUGCCAAGAACAGGACUGACCUGGGGAUCUUCACUCCACACUCCAUUCUGCACCAAAAAAUUUGGAAUUUUAAGGUGCCUCAGAUUGCCAGCAGUGGAAAUAAUCUGUGCUUAUCCCAGUGAAGCAUGGAUUUAACAGCAAUGCUGUGUUUCCUUUCACAAUAUUGUGUAGGACAAAGCAGUAUCAUACCACUCUAUCAAAGUACUGCACUGCAGAUAAAUUUUGUCCCAGCUUGGCAUUCUGCUAUCUCAUCUUCCAAAAACAUAACUUUCUGAAUUCCUGCACUAUAAAAUUUUACAAUCAAGAGAUCAACAACUUGUAACUGUAUUUCCAGAAGUAAUAAAUUAAUAAAAGCAAACUCA